This is a long non-coding RNA of Pyrgilauda ruficollis (rufous-necked snowfinch), 8121 nucleotides long. RefSeq lists it as uncharacterized. The transcript has 14 exons. NCBI's taxonomy places the organism in Eukaryota, Metazoa, Chordata, Aves, Passeriformes, Passeridae. The record is from RefSeq and is a predicted model, not a curated record.
CCAUGGGAAAGAGAAAAGGUUCUCUUCUGUCUGGAAGUGUCAUCGAGGGUCACUUCUCUAUUUAUUCCUGGCUCGCUGUGUUUCUCCCUUGCCGAGAGCGAGAUUGCGGGCAGCGCUGCGGUCUGGCACGGCGCUGGCAGCGGAGCCGUGCCGUGAUUCAGUCUCUCACAAGGUCACGCGGUGAAUCGCUGCUGCUGCCAAGAAUAGCACCCCGAGUCUCUUGGCUCUCUCAAGCCCACCCUCGACACUCCAGCCUCCUUCCCUCGGGUUAUGAAGCUUUCUGCAGCAAGACUUGAAGCAGCCAGAUUCCAGCUUACAUCAAAGCCCCUGGGAUUCACUUGUGAUUUCUGGAUGGAGUACGGCGAGUUGCAAAGCGUGGUGGGAGCAGACAAUGCUUGUGCUGACAGCAGAGGUUGAACUGUCAUGGAAAAGAUGAGCAAGCCAGUUCCACAUCAGCUUUCUUUUCUGAGACCUGUUUCUCCAGCUCAGGAAGGCCAGAGGAGUGACCCCCUCACAGCGAGCUCCAGCUGCAAGCACUGGAGCUCGGGACGUGCCUGGACUUGUCCCCACGUGCCCAGCUGUGACCACAGAGCAUACAUCCGUGUUCUUGCUGCUGCCUCCUGUAGCACAUUCCAUGCUUUGGUCUUCCCAUCCCUGCCUGGGCUCUCUUCUGCAGGCAGCUGCUGGGGGUCAGCAGAUGUAUGAGACAGGUAGACUCACUUCUGGCUGACAGCACUUCCCAAAGACUCAGUCUCCAGUCCUGGGAGCAUGGCCAUGGUGUGGGGAAUAAUACCCAAAUUUGUGAUGCUGAGAAGGUAAAGCUGCAGCAUGAGCCCACCUGGAAUCCUUGUUGUGGGAAAAAUGCACCAGGAGCAACCACGGACGGGCAGGUUCACCAGCACUCCAGUGCUCUGUCUGCUUGUGUGUCUAUUUGUGUGUCUCAUGAUUUUCAGGUUGUUUUUCGUAUCCUGACACAACUGAAAAGUCAGCCUUUUUCAGAAAAGUGUAGAGUCUAAUGAGCACAGUGUGUUUGAAAACCUCAGCUGUUCCCAGGACACAGGUGAGUGAUGCAAACAUGGCACAAGCAGGUGACACGUGGAGAUGGGCAUCUUGGAAAGAAAACAUCAGAGGACUCACACAGUGACUGGGGUGGGCAAUUCACAGGGCCAGGGAGCUGGAGAUGUGUGCAAAGCACCCUGUUCUUCACUCGGUGCCACUGAGCUUCAGUUCACUAAGAAAGCACCUGGAAAAAUUACCCAGAAAUAGAUGACCUUUCAAAAGGCCUCUAAUAUACAAUUACCUGGUGUUCACUGAAGUGGUUCACGUGCUUCCCACUCUAAAUGAUUUUCUAGGUUCACCCAUGUGUGAAAAGGGGUCUGAUUUUAUGGAGGAGGGCAGUGGAGGAAAGAAACUUCAGAAAGGAGAAAAACACGCCAGGGAAUGUUACUGGUUGUUUGCUUCAAGGGAAGAAAAGGGCAAAUAGAUGCAGCCACCUCAAAGUCACCUUUUGACUUUGAACUUUAAAAGAAAGGAGCAUGGGAGAACUGUGAGGUAUUGACAGCACUUGACAGAAGCUGUUCCAUGGAGAUAGGUAGGAAAUUUAGGAUCCAGUGGAAUUUGCUUUCUUAGCCAGAUGACAAGUUCUUUUUUCCCCCACAGUACAACAAAAUUAUUACAACUGCUGUUUUCCUUACUGCCUUUUCUUUCCUUCUGCCCUGGGUCAUCUGGCACAGGAGAUCCCUUGCCUGUGUGGCCACCAGUGCUCACACCAGGGCUGCCCAUGCCCCCUCUGCAGAGUUUCAGCUCUGGUCCUGGACCAAAGCAAGCGACCUGUCUGGGGCUGCAAUCUAUAGUGGGCUUUAGGCAAAAUGCUUUUCUAAGGAAGUUAUUUCUAUGGUUGGAACAAAAGUGCCUCUCCCCUGCACCUUUCCAGUGGCAGCUGUGCCCAGGUGCACACAGCAGUCUGGCUUCAAUAGUUCAGUGUUCUCUUCACUGCCCUGUCCCCCAGCAACACAGGGGGAAGGGGGCAGAGACCACCCCCACGUGGGAAAGGAGCAGCGCUCAAAAACCCAAAGACUUCUUGAAACCAGGGAAUGGCAUUCCCACAUAUGAUGAGAGAGCACACUGGGCAAUAGAAACUAUGUUUGUAUGGAAGAAAAUUAUUUUAAAUAACCUUGGAAUGUAAAGAUUUUCAUGAACAAAAGCAUAUGACAGUCCCCUCUCCCAUCUGCAUUAUCUGACAAAACAGAGUCCCUGAGACAGGUCAGACAGAAAACGAGCAUCAACGUGGCACUUGUAGCACUGAAGCACUUUUCAUUUGGUCAAGUAUCGAAGCAUCUUUGUGGGGGAAAAAAUCCAAAGUUGAGCUUUGGAUCCAAAGCAUUAGACUUGCAAUUCCACAGAAUUUUGUGACUUUGGAAAUGUUCUGUUGUUUUUCAGUAUGAGUUUAUGAACCUGGAAUGAAAUUGUCCUUUGAGGACAAAACAAAAUAGAUGAAAAAUAAAGGCUCAUGUCAGGUCUGGAGACCAAGGGGGUCCUGAGCCAUGGUUUCUUUUCCAUCAGGUUCAGGAGCAACUUUGAGAAGGAUUUGCUGCAGUUGAGGGAGACAGAAAAAAAAAAUCAUAUUAAAAAUAAAAGAAGAACCCUGAAUAAGAUUUUUCAAAAAGCCAUUUAUGUCUUCUAUAAGGCAUCCAGAUGCAAAAGUGAAUGGUGAGUCAGGAGUGCACUCAGGCACAUGGUUCCAGCAGCAGCUCCCAGGCUCCUCUGACUGUGGCUCUGCUGGAAGGCAGACCAACUUGAGCUCACAGCAGCAUAAUUGUGGGAUGAUGUGGAGCUCCUCAUGCUUCUGCCUCCUCCUUUUGGAGGCCACACAAAGUGCACAUGUUGUGUUCCUGAAUUCAUGCCUCUUCUGGCGAUCUGUUUGCCUGAUCCAUAAAUUUCUGUGUCCAUCUCCAGGGCCCAGAGCUCUGCCAAGCUGCAGCAGCUUGCUGAGACCGUGGGCAGGUGCCUCAGCUCCCCGCAGCGACUGCGCCGAGGGUCAGGAGUGCAGCCACACACAGCUGCACUGCCCGUGCUCUGAGGGCACUGUGCUGAGGAGCUGACCAUGGCAGCGAGACUGAAAGAUGUGAGAGUUCUCCUGCAGCCUGCUUUUAACUCUCUGUGGCCCUGUUUGAGAACGAGCUGUAGUCACUACAUGCCUUUAGCUUGAACUUGUACUUCAUCAGUCUGGGAGGAAGAAUGGAAGAAAUGUUCUGAGAGAAAAUUCCAUUUAUGUCUUCUACCACCUGCUAAUGGCAUAUGUGAGCUGCUGCAUGCCAGUAGCUGAUGGCAAAGAUAACAUCAGUGUGGAGAAAAUUGUGCAGUGCUGAAAAUGAGACUCAUGUUCCAGAUGACCCGAUAGUUCAGUGCCUGCUGGGGCCAGGUGUGGGGCUGAGCUCUGCUCAACACUCACACAGACACACAGUGUGAUGGCCUUGCUGGAAUCCCAGAAAUCAAAUUUUUUAGGGCAGGCAAAAGGACAAAAGCUGAAAAGCUUCUCUUCACAUCCAGCCCCAAAUCAGGUUUUGCUGCCUAUACCUCCAGCCUAGUUAGUAUGAGCCAGGGUGAGGGAGGCUGACAGGUGGGAGCAGCUGCCAAAAUGCCUGGUGAAGCUGCUGGUCUGAAAACUGACUUAAUGGCAGAGUAGACAUAUUGGGCAGCUCUUCAGAAGUAAACAUCCAUUGACAGUACAAUCAUAGAAAUAUUUGAGGCACUCAACAGCAAAAUCCUUGUUGCUUUUCACCCUCGUGCCACCUGGAGUUUUUGCUCAGUGAGGGAAUUCAUGGUGUUUUGUGUGAACCGAGAGGUAAUCUACUUAAAUAGCCCUAAUUAUGUUUAGAGAAGGCUGGUCCCUGAGCUAGGAUCUGUGAAUAAACAUAUUGACACAGGUGACCACCUGAUCUAUGCAUAUGGAUCUAAAAAAAGCCACUUUGCUAAGUUUAAAUACCUCAAAGUGAAGCUGAACAGACACCAGACGCCAGCAGCUGUGCCUGCCCAAAGCAGCAGGGCAAGGGGCUCAGCAGGGCAGUGUGGCCACAGCACGUCCUGCCUGCCUCAGGUGUCCUCCUGAGGGACCAGGGCCUUUAAAUACCAGCCUUUAAAUACCCUGUGGACAGACAAAGGUAAAGGGACUGGGCCCCCUAAAUGGGGGAUGGACAAGCCCGGAGGCUUACCUUGCUUAAUCCUUGGGCAAACAUGCUCAGUGUCUGCUGAGUCCAGCAGCUGAUCCCACCUGUGCCAGCACUGCCCUGCACAGCUGGCCCGGGGCUCCCAGGGGACAGAGAGCACCUGCCCCCAGCCUGGAGUUCCCUGGGAAUGGAGAGAGCCCCCUCCCCGCCUGGAGUUCCCAGGGGACAGUGGGCUUCCAGCUUGGCAGUGGCCCUUAGCAGUCAGAAAUUUUGGAAGAGAAAGUCUGUGAGAGAGAAGACAAAUGUGAAGCUGUUGAACAUGUUCAGCCCUUCAGUGCAGGGCUUGAAGAGCUCCCAGUGACAGCUGAGAUAAGGCCAGCCUGCUGGUGAGCCCCAAGCUGCCCCUGCCCCAACAGCCUCCUCCUCCUCCUGCAGUGAGCACCCAGCUGCACCCCCCCGUUAACCGUGUCUAGAGUCAGCACAGCUUAACAGCACAGAAUUAUAACACCCUAUGACAUGGAAAUGGGUCAGAAACAAACUCUGUGUCUUUCUGUAUUAACACAGGUGCCACUCCUGGCUUGGAGGGUUUCACAGCCCUGAGAUUUUGCUGCUUAUGACUUGAAGCAACCAGCAUCACCUCGGGUUAUAGGCAGAAAAGUUGCAUUGAACCACAUUGCCUCUCUGCUAGACAAACUGCAGAAAGAUAACUCACUCCCAGAACGUCAGGGUUUUCUGGGCACCUUCCAAACAAUCGCUGCAUUUCAUGCUUCAAUGCCUAUCAGUGAAUUUCCAGUACAAAAUGUGAACAGAGACAACCAGAAAUCAACGUCUGGUGUUCCCUUUGCACCUCCCCAGAAGGGAGGGCUGUUGGCAUCAUAUCUUCAAUCCCACAGCCCCAGAAGACACAGGAGUGCUUUUCCCACUGGCUACAUGCUCAGCUGAGGUGCAAGUCACGCCUGGUUCCUGUUCCUGAGCAAGCCAUGGAGACCAGAGCUGCCCAGCAGGGAGGGAAAGCCCAGCUUGGUGCCCUUGCCUGCUGCUGGAAGUGCUCUCUGCUGUGUUUCCCUGCGAGGGAGUUAGUGCACAUCUCUCCACACAUCGUCAGAGGCACACAGAAACUCUCAUCCCCGGCCUGCAGAACACAGGUGAAGGCUGUUUCCCAAAGGCUCUAAGGCUUCUCCUAAAAUCAGGGGUCCCCAGAAUAUGUUUAUUUUCUCCUACAAAGAAAAGGUCUUUCAGGGAACCUUCUCUGAACAAGAACCUCCUCCAAAGCAGGAGGGCAGCUGCAGAGAGGGUGCCGUGGGGUACAGGCAGCUCAGAGCUGCUGCUCUCAGCUGCACCCACAGCGCCCCACGGGCAGGAGCUCAGCUCCCCUGCUGCCUCUGGGACAGCCUAACACACGGGCUUAGUCUGCUGUGACAGAAUCGCUGCCCUGCACGUGCCAUGCGUGUACCUCACAGGAAACGGAGAGAUUCCUUGCCAAAGGGAGCUCUGAGCUCCCCGUGCAAAGCCCCAGCAGCCAUCCCUGCUGGCACACCUGCAGUGGAAGGGCUGACUUGCUCUCACUGCUGCAUUUCAGCAGCAUUCCUGAGCAGGUGGCCAGGCCUGGCUCCAUGUGAGGUUAAAGACAUUACCUCUGCAAUGGCAGAUUUUAGGCUGGGAUUCUACAUUUUUCUCCUGCAGAGGUCUCUGUCACUGCAAAACAAAAUAAUAGCACCCAAAGCCAUGUUAAGUCAUUGUAGUGAUUCCAAAAUCCUUUAUUCCCCUGGCUAAUUAAAAAAGUUCCAAGCUCGAUUCCAGGUCUUACAACUGUGAAUUUUGUAUUUGCAGUGGUGAAAUUCCCCUCUUCUUUUUAUCCACAGAUGGUCAUGAUUAUAUGUUUUUGUUCAAUAAUUAAUCAUUCUUGUGUCAUGUUGACUUGGUUUGGGGAUUUAAAUUGCAUGCCUCACUGAAGGGAAUCUGUAAUUGAGAUACAAAUCUGAGCACCUGUGAAAGACUUCAAGUUUUGUGUUCAUGCCUAAGUAUAAAUUCUUAAAUGUAUGUUUUACUACUUUAAAAGCAUCUACACAGGAUGUCAGUGGAAGCUGAUCUGUCAUCACUCUGUUGUCAGCAGACCCACUGGGUUCUGACAGCUGAACAGAGGCCAUUAAUUGAAACUGCUGGGUUUUGUCAGACCCGUGACAUGCUCCCUAGAUAAUUCAGUCUUAUGCAUUUCAAGCGUUUGCAGCAGGAGCAAGACUAAAUCUUUCAAUUUCCCUGCUCCAUUCUAUGCCUCUGUUUCUAAGAAAGAGGAUUUAUUCCUGCAGCAAUAACCCUUGCAUUUUGAAGUGAGGGUGUUGGUGUAACUUGGUUCUGCAUUGAGAAGUGCCAGGGUUUGUGAUGACUCCUCAGAGGGAAGCUGUGCAAAGGUUCUGGCAGUGACUCCCCACCCUCAGGAAGGUUACAGGGGAUAAUGCCACAAGCUUUGCAGGAAUAAAGAGCUUUUUCUGACUGUUCUAAGAAGGUUCUUUGCUAGAAUAAGCAAACAAGAAGUGGACCUGACUUCAGGUCCCUCUGCUCCCACAGCUAUCCUCACUGGAGUUGGCAACUGCUCCUGGGGAGAUAUGGCUCUCAGCCAGUCAUCCUUAAAGGAGAAGUGUUAGUUUUGCAUGUAACUAUGACCUAUUUUAAAAUUUUUGCUCUAUAUACAAAUUCACUCUUUAUAACACAUCCAUGGAAUGCAUAUGAUGGAGAGCCAGUGGUCAGCCCUUAGACUCAUGUUUAGAAAACACCACCUUUGUUUGUUUUACAUGUUUAUAAUUGUCUCUGGCUAUAUCAUCGUUUGUGAAUUUCCACAGUAGCUUUCAAAGUGAUGUUGGUUUGUCUGGAUAGUAACAUUGCUAAAAGGCACUUAAAAUGUCAAAUACAAGAACAGUUGUUUGCUUCUUCUUGCUACUACAACCUACCACAGAUGUAAAUCAUGACCCAUAUUGCUACAGCUUCUGGAAUCAAAGUAAAGCCAAACAAUAUAUAGCCCAGCACAGAUAUAUUCCCUAAUGACACACAAGUGUGGUGCUCCAGCCCCCCCUUUUAUAGGAGAAAAGGAGGAUAUAUGAUGAGAGGUUAGUGCCAACUUCUCACUUCCUCGGUGGUGACUGCAGUUUUGUAUGGGACAAUCUGCUCCUUCCAUGCAUUGCUCAGAGGUGGAUCCUGUUCAGAAACCCCUUCUCUGCCCCCGUGCAGCAGAGGGCUAUGCCACCUUCACGUGGAACCAUGUUCAACUGGAAUGUCACAGAUUUGCCUCUGGGGCCAGCCUGAGCUGCAACGGAGCACGGAGAAGACAGGUUUCAGGUCAGAGAGCAGAACAAGCAUGGUCUUAUCCCGGUGCCAGUUCCUGCACAUUGCAGUCACCGCCAGGCAUGGCCCUGCUCUGGGAAGGGACGGAGAACAAACUGCAGGGAACAAACAGGCACAGGCAGCUCCAGAAGCAGCACUUCAGAAACAGUUCAUGGUAUGGAAGAGAUGGCAUAUUUCUUUUUACAAUGGGGUGAAAAAUGGUGUUUAAGGCCUGGUUCUGCAAAGUACACUGGAAGAAAACAGGCUCCAAAACCAGACCUCUGAAAAUGGUUUGAAUUUGCAAACCCGAUACACACUGAGAUCACUUCUUCAGCAUUAAUGAAGUGAGAACAGGAGAACCACAAGGAAAGCCACUAAGGAUCUCACUGCCACUGAAACCUGUGGGGAUGCUCCCAGCGAAGUGUGUAAUGGUGAAGGUGACCUGCCUGCCCCAUCUGUCCUGUCCAGGUCUGAAAUCCAGGCACACGGACACCAGGAGGGUGCCACAGCGCUGGCGCUCGCACACACCGACAGAAGGCGUGUGGGAAUUCCUUUUAACUACCUGUGGCCAAUGUUUUUCUUGAAGGAAAAAAAGGAAUAUGUACAUGCUUGGCACUUAAUAAAAAUAUCAGUGUAUUUG